This 354-nucleotide ribosomal RNA is filed under the name uncultured bacterium. RNAcentral describes it as "bacterial SSU rRNA". It matches the Rfam family "Bacterial small subunit ribosomal RNA", at positions 1027 to 1382 of the family's 1533-position model. The record is from RNAcentral.
GAUCAGUACAGGUGGUGCAUGGCUGUCGUCAGCUCGUGUCGUGAGAUGUUGGGUUAAGUCCCGCAACGAGCGCAACCCUUAUUCUUAGUUGUUUCCCUUUGGGAUUACCCUCUAAGAAGACUGCCUCGGGAUAACGGGGAGGAAGGUGGGGAUGACGUCAAGUCCGCAUGCUCCUUACGUCUAGGGCUACACACGUCCUACAAUGGGGUCGACAAUGGGAUGCAAUAUCGCAAGAUGGAGCCAAUCCCCAAACGGCCUCUCAGUUCGGAUUGUAGUCUGCAACUCGACUACAUGAAGUUGGAAUCGCUAGUAAUGGCAGAUCAGCAUGCUGCCGUGAAUACGUUCCCGGGUCUU